ACAGAGCUGGCAGGAUGGAGGGGAAAAUUAUCUUCUGCUUGGAAUAAAGCAGGGAACUGCUUGUCACUUUUCUUAAACUGGCAAACACUACCCACAGUCUCCAAUUCCAAGUGAGAAACCAUGUUUUGAACAAUCUCAGCCCAUCCCCACAAGCACCAGGUCAUGGCCACGGUGAGCAGCUGGGCCAUGCAGAGGCUGAGCCCUUGCCUGGCUUCCAGGGCAACAGACUCACUGAAGCAGCCCAUGGCCAUCACCACAGCCCCAUGGAGACCCACAGCAAGAAUGGACUCCCUGGGGGAGGCUGAGACACCCAGGCUGUCCCCGCUGAGCCCCACCAAAGCAUCAGAGGGCUCUGACUGAACAGGGUGCUGUUGGGGGCAGCUGAGGGGCCCUUUUGCUAACCCUGCUACUCAUCACCCAGAAACCUGAAGUGAACAAGGCCCUGGGAUGCUGCAAAGGCAAAAAGACAAACCUGAGCUUCUAAGAUGAUGGGAUGCCACCAGCUUGAAUGUGAGAAAAUCAUGUGUUGUGAAGAUCUCAAAAAGCCCUGGGAAGCCUCAUUCAUUUCCUCCUCCUCCUCCACGUGCUACCAACCAAUGUGACUGAUGUGCAGCUGGAUGCUCCCAAGGAUGCAUAGGGAUCUCUCCUGCUGUAGAGGGACACCCUCAGACACACCCCAGGGCUGCAGGUAGCUAUUCCUGUCCCAAAACAGACACACCCAGUCUUUGGGUCUCUUAAGGCCACUUCAAGCAGGUCAGCUGGCUUUGUGCAAACCUCUGAAACAUGAAGAAUGUUGCUUCAGCAUGAAGCAAGUCUGGGACAGCUCCACAGCCCCCAUGGCACAGCAACACACAGUGCUGGGCAGGGUUCCAGUCCAUUCUGGAGUCCAGCUCCCUCCUUCGCCAGCAGUGGUCCAGAAGAGGCCACGGAGCUGCUCUGAGGGCUGGAGCCCCUCUGCUCUGGAGCCAGACUGAGACAGCUGGGGGUGCUCACCUGGAGAAGAGAUGGCUCCAUGGAGACCUCAGAGCCCCUGCCACCGCCUAAAGGGGCUCCAGGAGAGCUGGAGAGGGACUGGGGACAAGGGGGAAUGUCCUCAGUGGUUAGAUGGGAUAUUGGGAAGAAAUCAUUCCCUGUUAGGGUGGUGAGGCCCUGGCAAAGGGUGCCCAGAGAAGCUGUGGCUGCCCCAUCCUGGCAGUGUCCAAGGCCAGGUUGGACAGGUCUUGGAACUACCUGGGACAGUGGAAGGUGUCCCUGUCCAGGGCCAGGAGUGGAACAAGAUAGAUUUUAGGUCCCUUGCCACUCGAAUGAUUCAAUGGUUCUGAUCUGCAAAGUAUUUUGAAGAAAAGAUCCCAUGACAAAUGUUCUCUGCUGCAGGACAAGAGAGCAGUCAGACCCUCACCUGGGAUGGCACCAGUUAAACACAUCUCUGAGGCUAAAGUAGAUUGCAGAGGUGAUUGAGCCACCAUGAGGGGAAAGGAAAUAGAGACCAUCUGUGUUCUGGGAUGAUCUCAGGCCUUCAGAGCUGCUAAUGCUUCACUCAAGGCCAUAGCUCUGCCCUUUUAAGAUACAUUUGUGGUUUCCUCCUAGAACAAAAGGAAAAGAAAAACCUACCCAGGUUCAUUCAAAGGAAACUGGCCGUGACCUCCAGGUGCUCCUCUGUGCCUGCAGGGAUAGGGCCAUGCCCAGAGAGAGCAUGGAAAGGAUGCUUGUCCCACCUCCUGCUCUCAGGUUUCAACAGGUGACUUGGAUGAAACUACUGAGUGCAAAUUUUCCAGUUUCAUGUGGAUUUUCAUUUUUGUGAGGUGGAAGAACAAUCAUGGUUUCAUGGGCUAAUGACAGGUGCUGCAGGGAAACACCACCCUGCUGUGGGGAAAAGCUUUCUUUACUGGAGUAAUUUCUUUCUGCUCAAAGUCCCUGGGCAGGGCUGAAGUUAAACUCUCAGCAGAGAAACAGUGCAUGAGUGUAAAAUUUGGCAGCACAUAGGGGUGCAGGCAGCUUUCCAGAGGCACUCAGCAGACACUCAUCUCCUUUCUGAGGAGCAGUGAGGUUCAGAUCUCAAACUCCCUUGCACCAGGUGCUGGAGCAGCUGCCCAGGUUGGUGUGCCCUCAGGAGAGCUAACAUCAGCUUAGGUGUGUGAAGCUUCUGUCAGGACAGACGUGGUCCUGCCUGGUGUGUGUAUCAAGCAGACAGGAGCUGAGCAGAGCUGCUAUCGAUGAGCAUCCACAUCCCGCUUCCAGUGCAUCCCCCUUCUGCUCUAGUCUGGUCCCCAUCCUGCCAGGGAGACAUUGUGUCCUUGGGACUGCAUUGGCAAGGUCUGGGCAGUGGGGGUCUGUAGAGUGCCUUAGUGGAAGGCACCAGAAGCUGUCCCUGUGUUGGACUCACUACCACCCAAAGCUGAGCCUGCCGGCAGUAAAUGGGGGCUCCUCUGGGAUGAUGUUUUUAAGAAAGAGUAAAAACCACUGCACAGCCCUACAUAUCCUAGUUCAGUGGAGAGGGAGGGGAGGAGGUGCUCCAGGUGCCAGAACAGAGAUUACCUGCAGCCCGUGGGGAUGACCAUGAAGAGGCAGCUGUGCUCCUGAAACCUGUGGAGGUCCAUGGCGGAGCAGAUACCAACCUGCAGCCUGUGGAAGAUCCCACACCUCUGCCUUCCCGAGGCACGAGCCUGCUCAGCCUCUGAGGGUUUGUAUGCCAAACUGUGCUGGGAGCCUGCUUGGCUGCCACUGUCUCCUACCCUCACCUUGUCAUGCAGGAAGACUUUAUGUGUCUUGCUAAAGGAUUCAGCUUCCCUUUCCAACACCCCACACGUCUCUCUUUGGAAGCGAGCCCCGAAAUCAGUAAUAUCAGCUCUUCCGUGGUUGGGGGGUUGCACAGUCAAAGCACCUUCCCUAACCCAGGGUCAAGAAGAGCUGCCAGGGACCUGCCACAUCCCAGCCACUUCCAGCCCAAGGCAUGGAGAGCCUGAGCCCUGUGCCAGGCUGCAGGUGCUGCUCAGGCUCCCCUCAAUAAUCUGCCAGGACCAUCACUCCUGAGAGGCAGGGAGCAGAGAGAUGCCUGGUUCUGUGGCUCAGCAGUGGGUUGCUGCACGAGGAGAAAUGUUUCCAGUGUUUGCAAUAACUCAGGUCUCCUGAGAGUCACUGGACAGCUCACCAGGGGACCAGCCACUUGCUUUGGCUACUAGCAGUAGCUUUAAGCUUUCAGGUGAGAUCUUUACAAGUUCAAGUUCCACUUGUUUAAAAAAUAAUGUCAGAAUCCAGCUGGAGCCUGACACAUCGCUCUCAGCAGAUAAGCCUGGGAGCAGCCACCAGUAACACAGCUGUGAUAUUUCCACCGUUCCCUCCUGCCACCCAGUGGUAUCCAUGAAUGAGGAAGGUGACAGCAAGCAUAUGGGACACUUUCCUGUCUCCAGCUGUCUUCAGCUGGGGGGUGACCUGAGCCAGCCAUGAUUUUCUGAUUUUCACCCUUCAGUAGAUUCCUCCUCUCUGUACUUGUCAAAAUCCCUCUAUUGUAGUGCAGGCAAACCUCCAGAAGCACCAUCACUUAUCAGGGAGCUGCUGCACCCCAGCACUGGGAGCUGCCUGCUUUAGGAUGGGUUGGAUCUGGCUUCUACCUUCACUUCAUACACUGGAAUUGCUGGUGGCUCCAUCCCUCUCCAAUCUCUCCAGGACUCUCCUGAGUUUGCAGACCCCCAGUUGUAUCUUCCCUGGCUGGAGGGACCAGUACUGCUUGGAGGAGGGGUCCUUCCCAGCAGAGUUUCCCAGGAGCCCUAUGGCCAUGUGAUGCCUCCUGGCAGGGCCCAGCUGUCCCUGCUGCCUCAUGUGCCACUGCACCACCCUGGUGCAUUCCAGGGGCCAGGAUCAUGGUCCUUGCUGCCAUGCCAAUUGUUCCUACAGCCAGCUCCCACCUCACAUCCCUCCUGGGGUGAACAGGAUAUCCACCACAGAGCAGAGACAUACUACUAUUCCACAGGCUGGCCCAGACCUUCAGGAUUUUCCCACUAGUGAUGUACUUUCCAUUGCUUUAAAAAAUAAAACCCCAGUUAUAAAAACUCCA
This is a long non-coding RNA of Passer domesticus (house sparrow), 4051 nucleotides long. RefSeq lists it as uncharacterized. NCBI's taxonomy places the organism in Eukaryota, Metazoa, Chordata, Aves, Passeriformes, Passeridae. The record is from RefSeq and is a predicted model, not a curated record. The transcript is spliced from 2 exons.